ACCCGCUGAACUUAAGCAUAUCAAUAAGCGGAGGAAAAGAAACCAACAGGGAUUGCCUCAGUAACGGCGAGUGAAGCGGCAACAGCUCAAAUUUGAAAUCUGGCUGCCUGUGCAGUCCGAGUUGUAAUUUGAAGAGGAUGCUUUUGGCAAGGUGCCUUCCGAGUUCCCUGGAAUGGGACGCCAUAGAGGGUGAGAGCCCCGUAUGGUCGGUCGCCGAGCCUCUGUAAAGCUCCUUCGACGAGUCGAGUAGUUUGGGAAUGCUGCUCAAAAUGGGAGGUAAACCCCUUCUAAAGCUAAAUAUUGGCCAGAGACCGAUAGCGCACAAGUAGAGUGAUCGAAAGAUGAAAAGCACUUUGAAAAGAGAGUUAAACAGCACGUGAAAUUGUUGAAAGGGAAGCGCUUGCGACCAGACUUGUGCUCGUCGAAUCAGCCGUCGCUCGUCGGCGGCGCAUUUCGGCGGGCUCAGGCCAGCAUCAGUUCGCUGCAGGGGGAGAAAGGCGGUAGGAAUGUGGCUCUUCGGAGUGUUAUAGCCUACCGUAUAAUACCCCUCGGUGGACUGAGGACCGCGCAUCUGCAAGGAUGCUGGCGUAAUGGUUGUCAGCGACCCGUCUUGAAACACGGACCAAGGAGUCGUCCUAAUAUGCGAGUGUUCGGGUGUAAAACCCCUACGCGUAAUGAAAGUGAACGGAGGUGAGAGCUUCGGCGCAUCAUCGACCGAUCCUGAUGUUCUCGGAUGGAUUUGAGUAUGAGCAUAUUGGGCCGGACCCGAAAGAAGGUGAACUAUGCCUGUAUAGGGUAAAGCCAGAGGAAACUCUGGUGGAGGCUCGCAGCGGUUCUGACGUGCAAAUCGAUCGUCAAAUAUGGGCAUGGGGGCGAAAGACUAAUCGAACCUUCUAGUAGCUGGUUUCCGCCGAAGUUUCCCUCAGGA
RNAcentral lists this ribosomal RNA (928 nucleotides) under Melanospora asymmetrica. RNAcentral's name for it is "LSU rRNA". It matches the Rfam family "Eukaryotic large subunit ribosomal RNA", at positions 23 to 978 of the family's 3401-position model. Lineage: Eukaryota; Fungi; Ascomycota; Sordariomycetes; Coronophorales; Ceratostomataceae. The record is from RNAcentral.